AUGUUGCUGACCUCUCUCUCUCACUCUGUGUGUGUGUGUGUGUGUGUGUGUUGUAACUACUGAACUAAAUAAUUCCUCUUCCUCUCUCUCUCUUUUUUUUCUGAAACAGUGAACAGAGAGGUUUGUUCAGUUUGGUCUCCAUAUUAGAUCACAGUGAGUAAGCCAUUGUAUAACUCAUCACCUAUGAGUCCUUUAUUAAGGUGUGUGUGUGUGUGUGUGUGUGUGUGGUGUAAGUGUGAUGUAACUGAUAUGGAGAAAACCUGUUCACACCUCAUAAUGAUCACAAAAGGAAGACCAAAGUUGAAUCCAGAACUCAGUUUAAGUGCCAAAUCACACUGGUCGUGGGGAGCCUGGAACCCAUCCCAGGGAACUGAAGGCACAAAGUGGAGGACACCCUGGACGGGUCGCCAACCCAUCGCAGGGCACACUCGCACACCCAUUCACACAAUUCAGAAAUGCCAAUCAUCCUACAAUGCACGUCUUUGGACUGGAGGAGGAAACCGGAGUACCCGGAGGAAACCCCGAGGCACGGGGAGAACACGCACACUCCGUGCACACAGGGGGAGGCGGGAUUCGAACCCUCAACCCUGGAGGUGCGAGGCGAACGUGCUAACCACUAAAAGCCACCGACAGGGAGCCAGUGGAGGGAACGCAGGAAUGUGGGAGAACCUGUUCAUGCAGCAGGAUUCUGGAUCAGUUACAGCAAACUACUGAGAGUUGUAGUGGUUCAAUCUCAAAAUGAGACAAGGGACUGCACCAGCAUCUGACUGGUGUCCAUGGAGAAAAGAGGCCGGGUCUUCCUGAUGUUGUAAAGGAGAGAGCGGGAGGACAGAAUGAGUUUGGAUGUCAUCAGCAUAACAGUGGUAUGGAAAGCCAUACAGAGCGGGUAUAAAAGAAAAAAAAGAAAAGAGGACCAAGUAUUGAGGUCUUGUGGGGGUCUAGUUGAGAGUGUGCAUGGAGCAGAUAUUACCUGAUAUGACCAUCACUUUGGGUAUGACUUAAACCUCUAAUUUCUGGUCCAAUAAAUAAAAAGAUUGUUCAAGAAGAUUGUUCAAUAAAUAAAAAGUAUGUUCAAAAAUUUAUCAAGAAGGAUCAGGGGUGAUAAUCUGGCCGAUUUAGCUAUUGAAGUGCAUCAUUUCCGGCAGGUA
Long non-coding RNA from Ictalurus furcatus (blue catfish), 1148 nucleotides. RefSeq lists it as uncharacterized. Lineage: Eukaryota; Metazoa; Chordata; Actinopteri; Siluriformes; Ictaluridae. The record is from RefSeq and is a predicted model, not a curated record. The transcript has 3 exons.